Molecule: ribosomal RNA, 340 nt
Filed under: Salmonella enterica subsp. enterica serovar Muenchen
Lineage: Bacteria; Pseudomonadati; Pseudomonadota; Gammaproteobacteria; Enterobacterales; Enterobacteriaceae
Also listed under: 2 other names
Description: partial 23S ribosomal RNA
Rfam family: Bacterial large subunit ribosomal RNA
Source: RNAcentral
GUACUCCGGGGAUAACAGGCUGAUACCGCCCAAGAGUUCAUAUCGACGGCGGUGUUUGGCACCUCGAUGUCGGCUCAUCACAUCCUGGGGCUGAAGUAGGUCCCAAGGGUAUGGCUGUUCGCCAUUUAAAGUGGUACGCGAGCUGGGUUUAGAACGUCGUGAGACAGUUCGGUCCCUAUCUGCCGUGGGCGCUGGAGAACUGAGGGGGGCUGCUCCUAGUACGAGAGGACCGGAGUGGACGCAUCACUGGUGUUCGGGUUGUCAUGCCAAUGGCACUGCCCGGUAGCUAAAUGCGGAAGAGAUAAGUGCUGAAAGCAUCUAAGCACGAAACUUGCCCCGA